CUACUGGAAACGGUGGCUAAUACCGCAUAACGUCGCAAGACCAAAGAGGGGGACCUUCGGGCCUCUUGCCAUCAGAUGUGCCCAGAUGGGAUUAGCUUGUUGGUGAGGUAACGGCUCACCAAGGCGACGAUCCCUAGCUGGUCUGAGAGGAUGACCAGCCACACUGGAACUGAGACACGGUCCAGACUCCUACGGGAGGCAGCAGUGGGGAAUAUUGCACAAUGGGCGCAAGCCUGAUGCAGCCAUGCCGCGUGUAUGAAGAAGGCCUUCGGGUUGUAAAGUACUUUCAGCGGGGAGGAAGGUGUUGUGGUUAAUAACCGCAGCAAUUGACGUUACCCGCAGAAGAAGCACCGGCUAACUCCGUGCCAGCAGCCGCGGUAAUACGGAGGGUGCAAGCGUUAAUCGGAAUUACUGGGCGUAAAGCGCACGCAGGCGGUCUGUCAAGUCGGAUGUGAAAUCCCCGGGCUCAACCUGGGAACUGCAUUCGAAACUGGCAGGCUUGAGUCUUGUAGAGGGGGGUAGAAUUCCAGGUGUAGCGGUGAAAUGCGUAGAGAUCUGGAGGAAUACCGG
This 570-nucleotide ribosomal RNA is filed under the name Salmonella enterica subsp. enterica serovar Bredeney. RNAcentral describes it as "bacterial SSU rRNA". It matches the Rfam family "Bacterial small subunit ribosomal RNA", at positions 147 to 712 of the family's 1533-position model. The record is from RNAcentral. Lineage: Bacteria; Pseudomonadati; Pseudomonadota; Gammaproteobacteria; Enterobacterales; Enterobacteriaceae.